UCCUUGAGCUGUGAAGGUGGGAUUUAAGUCUGUUAACAUCCGGGUACCCACACUGCCAUCAGCAGUGUGCAGAAAGGACCAUUCCAGUUCCUCUCUGCAUCUACUGAGUCAGGAGGAGCUGGUCGCAUGGUCUGGGGUGGUAGCCCCAAGGUCACCACCCUCAGUUCUGAAGGAUGCAUCGAGCUCCUUGGAAAUGAUGGAGGUAGAAUGUGAAGACUGUUAGACGUCCCCAGAACCAUUUUGGAAAGAGCACAUGCCUUCGGGACUUGCAGCUGAUGAAGGUCAGAGGGAACAGUCCGAGGACACCAGAGAUCUGUAGCCUCAUCCAGGUCUCUGUGUGAUUCUUUCCACAGCUUUCCUGCGUACCACUGCUCACACCUCAGACUUUAUCUUCUCCCGAUGCAUUCAUCUGGAGUAGGUGGGUGAGUGGGCCAGCUUGACCCGGAAGUGGCUAGUUUAUGUCCUUACUCCCUGGCUGGCUAGUUUUUACUUUUGGUCAACUUGACACAAAUCUAGACAAAUCUGGGAAGAGGAAACUUCACUUGAGGAGUGGCCUCUAUCAGAUUGUCCUACAGGCAACCCUCAUGGGUCAUUUUCUUGACUAAUGAGGGAUAUGGGGGGAUAGCCCAGCCAACUGUGGGGGUCCACUCUGAGCAGGUGUUCUUGGAUGGUAUGAAAAAGCAGGAUGAAUAAACCAUGGGGACCAAACCAAUAAAGAACACCCGUCCAUGGCUUUUACUUCA
This 743-nucleotide small RNA is filed under the name Rattus norvegicus (Norway rat). RNAcentral describes it as "uncharacterized LOC103690469". The record is from RNAcentral. Lineage: Eukaryota; Metazoa; Chordata; Mammalia; Rodentia; Muridae.